CCAUUGUAUCAUUCCAGGGUGUGGCUGGGUAAAAAACGGCUCUGCUUGCUUUCUGCUAUGCAGGACUGAAACACUGAGAAAGGAUAUAUUUGAAGACACGUUGGUCACUGGUUAUUUUUAACUACUUUCCCUAAAAUGUGAACUCCUUUUUUCCAAUUCAGCACAUAUUCUAUAUUGUAAGUGGCAAACAUGAUGGAAAAGCAUCUAUAAACUAAUGGCAAUGCUCUAGGAGGAAAGAAUUGAAACAACCAGGAAUGUUGACUUCUGGUUCCAGCACUACCUUCAAUCCAGGAUUAUGAACCUUGAGGUAAAGAUCAUGUAGCUCAAUUGCAUUUAAUUAACUCUGGCUCAUGGCUGGAGUUUAGGAAAUAUUUUUUGAAUGGACACUGAAUAAAAACUUGUUUUCUUCACCUUAAAAAUAUUGUACAGUGUGCUAUAAGUUUAGUGUUUCCAAACAUCCAAGCAGGCCCUCUCAAAGGCCACAUAGAUUCCAAGGACUCAUUGACAAUGCCUUGUCCUGAAACACGCUGACCCUGGAAUGUACCUUGGAGUGCCUGUGAUGUCCCAUCAUAACCUAUGGGAAAGUAUAAUCUGCAUAAUUAAACCUGGAACGAGGACUCCUGAACUCUGAACACAUGAAGAAUCUGAAAAGGAAUGCGAAUACCUAUGAGAGAUAGGAGGAUCUUAGGGAUGGAGUUGGGACCAAGAAACCAUUGAAGCUGCCUCUCAUCUGUGUAAAAUGAGGGAAGUGUUCCCAUCCUGAAGCACCUGGGAUACAUUCCAAAGGGCCAACCCAAUUAGCAACUCAGAUCCAUUCAUUUGUGCAAAUGUACUUGGGGCUCUAAUAUGUUGUUUCAAGUGGACCAUGGAGCAGACUUCAGAGAAAGAACAAAUAUGAGCAUGAGUAAAUAUUUUCAUUAUCUAAAAAUGACUCUUCUAAUACCGUAAGUCCACAGACCUAUAACCGAGAACAGAAAAUAAAUGAGAAAGGCAAGUAGAUUUGUUCUAUUUUUAAACACAAGGAAUAUCAUGUGAGAAAUUUCAACUGUGCUUUUACUUUUAAGGAGCUAAGUUUUGGAACAGAAACUUUCUUGUUCUCAGUUGCAGAGUCUCUUCAAAGAUGGAGAAGCUGACUCUGACAUUGGAAACUGAUUAGAAGUUGAUGAUUGCAGAUUAAUAGAGUGCUGCAUCUGUUCUUUGUUGAGCAUGACCUUACAACAAUUUAAGGAAGAUGGGUCUAUAAAGCCCAAAGUACUUUGAAAUCAAUAGCUUGAUUUCAGGGGACAUUAACAUUAGGUCAAAUGAAAGUCCUGGGCUGUAUAGUUGUUACCCAUUGGCAGACAAUGAGCUCUCAGGACUAUGAAAUGACUGUGAAGAUCUCCUGGAGGGGAUGUAGUCUCUGCAUCCAUCAAAGUCUGACUCUAUCCAAGGAAAAAGGAGUUGAGACACCUGUGAGGAGCUGGGAUCCCUUUGGGUCAAAAAGUGAGGCUGUGCUGAGAAAAAUCUCAGCACUUUUUAAAUAAUA
Molecule: long non-coding RNA, 1525 nt
Organism: Pipistrellus kuhlii (Kuhl's pipistrelle)
Lineage: Eukaryota; Metazoa; Chordata; Mammalia; Chiroptera; Vespertilionidae
Exons: 2
Source: RefSeq, a predicted model, not a curated record